RNAcentral lists this ribosomal RNA (204 nucleotides) under Clostridioides difficile. Its description in RNAcentral is "partial 23S ribosomal RNA". It matches the Rfam family "Bacterial large subunit ribosomal RNA", at positions 39 to 243 of the family's 2925-position model. The record is from RNAcentral. Lineage: Bacteria; Bacillati; Bacillota; Clostridia; Peptostreptococcales; Peptostreptococcaceae.
CUAGGAGCCGAUGAAGGACGUGAUAAGCUGCGAUAAGCUUCGGGGAGUUGCACGUAAACUUUGAUCCGAAGAUUUCCGAAUGAGGAAACUCACUUAGAGUAAUGUCUAAGUAUCAUUAAGGGAAUACAUAGCUUAAUGAGGGGAACUCAGGGAACUGAAACAUCUAAGUACCUGAAGGAAGAGAAAGAAAUUCGAUUCCGUAAG